UCACGCUCGGAGGAGAGGGGUAUAGUCUCUUUUUCAGAGAAGAUAUAAGCUUUUUUUUCUCAGGCCCCACAGAUCUACAAAAGCCCAUGGUGCAAUUAAUUAUUCACAAGUGCCACAACACGGCCCACAGAUGAAUAAUGCAUGAAGCAAUUUGAAAAAAUAUAAAGGCUUAAGUAGGAAAGUGUGUCGUUAGCCGAAGGUGAUGGCGACCAAAGACUGCACAACAAUGAGAAAUCAGAUAUCAUGGUUGUGGUCAAUAAAUGAGAGGUGUGGGUUCUGAUUAAUUCUUGUUUAUGAUGAUUAAAUCAAGAGUGUGUUUUACAUGCACUUCAUAAUCUGAAUACUGAAGAAGAUUGAAGCUUGUCAGUGAACCAAUCAACACUUUUACAUGAAUUUAGGUGAUCAGACAAUGUUGGGCUAUGUUAGACUUUGUUGGGACUGCCACCUGAAAUCAGAUUUCUGGCAUAUCUAGAUUGGAUCCACUAUCCAGAUUGAUGUUUUGAUAGCCUUGACAGCCAUCUAGUUUCUGUACAUCAGACCAAAUUUUGGAAGUGGUUUGAAAUGUGAUUCCAAUUUGAUUAUUUACAGAUGCAUCUCAGUCAAACAAACAAUAACCUCUUUAAAUUCAAACUGUGGGGAACCAAGAACACCACCAAAGAAACAAAUCGGAUUUGUUUUCACACACUCGGAAAUCUGAGAAUGCUCCAGGUUACUGAGUGCAUAUAAAUGCACUUCUUGAGAAGAACAGCUCAGGCUCAGGCUGAAUGCUAUGGAGGAGAGAACAGCUGAAAGCAUUUCCUGUACUUUCUUCAGUUGCACAAAAGUAUCUCUUGUGAGCAGGACUCUGUUUGUUUGUGCAAGCCAGCACUCCAGAAGCUCUUGCAUGUUCUCAGAAAAGACAAGCAUGUUCUCCUCUCAGAGUCACUUUACUCACACUACAGCUCUCGUGAUAUGAAGCGAAGCUUUCUCUAGGAGAGUCUGAGAUGUAAAUGCAUAGAAUGGGCUUUUUAUAACGGUCAAACAAGUCAUUCUUCACUUCAUGAUCGUGCAGCUGAAAAUACAAAGAGACAGUAUGGCAGUAGUGUACUACUUACACAUAAUAAAAGUGCAAUGAUUUUUAUAAAUUGACUUACUGAAUUUGUCUAUCACAGUAAAGUGCGUGGGACUUGUGCUUCAGAUACACACACAACCUUUUUUUCCCUCAUUUGCCAACAAAAAUAUUUACACUGAUAAAUUACACUCACACGUAGCCAAACCUGGCUUGAGCACUCCUAUUGGUGGAAAAUUCAGUUCUGCAGCCUCAAUUGAUGAUGACACAGAGAGGGACUGUGUUCCAGUGUCAUACUCCACACAAUACAAAAAAUGAUGUACUGUAUCCUAACUUUAAAAGCCUGUGUUUGUUAGAUACACAAUAUUGUGUUUGUACCGUAUACUAAUGUACUUGCAUUAGUUGCUGCAGCAAAACAGAAUAGUCUCUGAUUGGCUUAGUUCUCCCCUUCCUGACCCAUAAUACGUUCAUUACUGGACCCCAAUUGUGCAUUUUUAAAUAUGCUAACAGGCUGAAAACCCUCGCUGUCAUGCGAGAAAUAAAUGAUGAUGAUUUUUCCACAUUUUGCAAUUGAAAAUCUGCUUUUCUUAAAAUGAAAAUGAAAAUUUAAGAAUGGUGUUUCCUCAUAAUGAAUGUUGAUGUGAAAAGUGAUGUGAAAAAGUUGUUGGAAAUAAAAGGCUUUUGUGUGAAUGAUUGACAUACUC
Long non-coding RNA from Astyanax mexicanus (Mexican tetra), 1752 nucleotides. RefSeq lists it as uncharacterized. The transcript has 3 exons. The record is from RefSeq and is a predicted model, not a curated record. NCBI's taxonomy places the organism in Eukaryota, Metazoa, Chordata, Actinopteri, Characiformes, Acestrorhamphidae.